UACGGAGGGUGCGAGCGUUGUCCGGAAUCACUGGGCGUAAAGGGCGCGUAGGCGGCAUGCCAAGCGUGUGGUGAAAGCCCGGGGCUCAACCCCGGGUCGGCCGUGCGGACUGGCGUGCUCGAGCACUGUAGGGGCGGGUGGAAUUCCGGGUGUAGCGGUGGAAUGCGUAGAGAUCCGGAAGAACACCGGUGGCGAAGGCGGGUCUCUGGGCCGAUACUGACGCUGAGGAGCGAAAGCGUGGGGAGCGAACAGG
Molecule: ribosomal RNA, 253 nt
Filed under: uncultured bacterium
Lineage: Bacteria
Description: partial 16S ribosomal RNA
Rfam family: Bacterial small subunit ribosomal RNA
Source: RNAcentral